Molecule: long non-coding RNA, 42923 nt
Filed under: Gossypium barbadense (sea-island cotton)
Lineage: Eukaryota; Viridiplantae; Streptophyta; Magnoliopsida; Malvales; Malvaceae
Description: long non-coding RNA (GBAR_LNC020358)
Rfam family: small nucleolar RNA snoR143 (bases 24820-24977)
Source: RNAcentral
UGUAUUAGAAGAACUAACUCUGAAGACGAAUGAUAUGGGGAAGGGGAUAUGUGAUGGACAACUCUCAUUGCAGUGUUUCCAAAACCUUAAGCAUCUUAACCUCCAAUUCUUUCCCGAGACAUCCACUACUCUUCCGUAUUCCUUCAUUCGGUCACUACCAGUGCUUCAUAAGCUUGUUAUAGACAAUGCUUCCAUUUGUCAAAUAGUACAAUCUGAAGGACUCAGCGACUAGGAAUGGCAUACAUCAGCAUUCUAUCAGCUAAAGGAAUUAAGUUUGUCUCAACUUCCAGAGUUGACGUUAAAGACUUUUGAACCAUCUUUGCUGUCUUUCAAAAAUCUAACAACACUGAAAGUUUCAAGAUGCCAUGGGUUCAUCAAUUUAAUCGCAUGCUCAACAGCUAAGUGCCUGACGCUACUGGAAAGAUUGAUCAUAGAUGAUUGUGAGAUGAUAGAGGAAAUCAUAGCGUGUGAGGCUGAAGAAAUACAAGGCGGCAUUGUAUUUCCCAAACUGAAGUAUUUGCAACUAAGUUGUCUGCCAUGUCUAGCAAUCUUUUCCUUGGCCCAUCACUUGUUGGAAUUCCCAGUCUUGCUAAUGUUGAUGGUGACAAAGUGCCCCCAAAUGAGGAAUUUCUGCCAAGGAGAUUUAAGCACGCCAAGGCUGGAACAAAUGCACUUAACAAGAGAUGAGGAAGGUGAACUGAAGUGGGAAGGCGACCUUAACACUACCAUAAAACAUAUGUUCGAUGAAAUGGUACAAAUCAUUUAAAGGAUUUAAAUUCAUGUGUUUUUACAUACAUACAUACAUAGUUAAUUGAACAAUUCCUGGUUUGUUAUGAUCAUGCACAGAAUGUGCAAAAUUCUGAGGUGACGGAGGUUACUGAUCAGUUGCCCAAUCUGGAAUAAGGAAAUAUGUUUGGGUGCUUAUGCGAAAAGCUCAAUUUCGUUUGAAUUCAAAACAAACGGUAAUUGACUCCUCUAUUUUCAUCAUGGCUUAACUAAUGCUUUAUAAAGUGACCAUAGAGACGCCCUUUUCAUUGUAGGUUGAGUUGCUCUACUGAAGUACGAGGCUGCAACUUUUGGUAAAAUGUGAAAGGUUAUUUCAGUUUUUGUAAAACUACCAUUUGAACUGUUCCAUUUCACAUUAUACCCUCAAAAUUGAACUUCAAGUGCAUCAUGCUUGGCAUUGGGCUACAAACAUGUAAACUUUUACUAGUAAGGUUGACCCCUGUUUUAAGGAUUUGCCAACUUUUGAUGGUUACCAUAUCAAUGUCAGCUUAAAGCUAUCAAGUAUCUUUACAAAUAUAAUAUAUAUAUAUUAUUCCUUAAUGAAGGAUAAAAGUAGGCAGCUAUCUAUUAAUGGUACGGCUGAUUCUGAAAAGACGGCUGAAAUUGAAUCAAUGGGUUGUUGGUAAUUGCCUGAUGGAAGAACAGGGCCUAAUGUUACGUGGAUCCUGAUCAAGUUUUAAAUUUUCAGUUGUAGGCAUUACUGAUUAUUGCCAUUUGGUUGUUGAUCCUCUGAUUUUACGGUUGACUGUCUUGCUUAUACGUUGCAAGGUUGGCGGGUCUCAAGUAUGAAUUUCCAAGCCGGCUGUCAUCCAUAAUUAACUAAGUGUUCCAAUCUGUUGAAAGGUGGUUAGCAUGCAGCAUUGAAGACCACCAUGCAGAAGCAGCAGUUUGCACGAGAAAGCAAGGAUGUUUAGUUUCAUUUGAAUUUUUUUUUUUGUUUAUGUAAUGUAAUCUAGUUCAUUUUGAACUAUGAUAAGAUGAUAUUUGAUGUAAACUUGAUGGUGAUUGAGCUGUUUACCAGCUUUAUUCAUUUGCACAAGUUAUCAUUCCAAUUUACUAGGAAACUUAGUGGUAGUAGGUAUAGUUUUGGUUAACCUACUGUCUUGACAAGCUAGAAGCUUGAUUUAUGUAUUGGCAUUAAGCCUUUUUUUGAUGAAUGAAUUUAAUCAAGUUUUCAUUCAAAAACUCUCACCAUUCUCCUUGCUUUAUUCUUUUUAGUUUUCUGCUUGUUUCUGCUGCAAGUCACGACACUUGCUGCUCAAGCAAUAGGCUGAAACUUGUUGUUAGUUGCUCUCAGCUCCAACAGAAUCCAUGGAGUUUAUGGUUUAUUAGUGUAACUGUCCAUUUGGUUGUGGAUUGGUUCUUAAGGUGUUUUGAUGCUUGUAUGUUACAGUGCCUGCUCCAAGCAACACCCUUUAAUUUCUAAUGAAUUUUAUUUGUUGAGGAAAAAAAUAUGAGGAUUAAUCUGAUAUUUUAUGUUUGGGUUUAUGAAGAUUUUUGUACCUUUAAUGAAAAAAGCAAAUAAAAUAGAGAGGUACAAGAUCACAUCCAUAGAUCAACAAAGGGGUUUAAUAUUUCUAUAAAAAAAGUUGUCCCAAAAAGGCCUUCUAAUGGGAAUUGAAAAAAAAGCUUGUAAAAAUUUACAAAAGGAAUUGAUGAGAAUCUGAUACAGCCAUCACAUGCGACAGCUUUCCCUUAAAAGCAUUCGUGGCUGAGUCUAGUCUUAAUUUUUAUUUGUAUCUUUUAUAUCCGUUUUAUAAUUCAUAUUUAAGAUUUGUAUUAUGCGCUUAAUAUUUCAUUAUUUGUUGUCUAUGAUGCUCAUUCUUGAAAAAAAAAACAAACAAACAAAUGCAAUGCAUGCAUAAACCAUAAAAAAAAUAAAGAACAUAAGCAACUAAUAAUGAAAUAUAUUAAAAUGAAGACCGGUAAUUGAUUUAAGAAUUACCCUAAUUUCGGUAAAUAUAUUAAAACAUGUGUCCCUAAUCUUUUUCAAUUUUGAUAUUGAAAAAAUUGGUAUUCUUAAAAUUAUGAGAGUUAUUCAAUUAUUUUCAUUUUUGAAAUUGAUAAAUUAAGGACAAUUAAUCACAACGUUAAUGUUUUUAUCAAUUAUAUAUGAUUUUCUUGAUAUAAUGAUAAAUUUAGUCCUCAAAGUUUACACAUUCUAUCAAUUUGUUAUUGAUUUAACAAAUUUAACCCACAAUAUUUACACAUUUCGUCAAUUUGAUCAUGAUUUAACAUAUUUAACCCGUAAUAAUUAUACAUUCUAUCAACAUUUACGCAAAAUAUAUAAUCAUCAAGGAUUAAAUUUGUUUUUAUACUAAUCAAAAUUAUGUAUAAUUAACAGAAACUAUUAGCGCUUGAUUAAUUGUUCGUGGUUACUUUCAAAAAAGAUAAGGAUUAAUUUGUUCAAUAUCAAAAAGAUGUUUUUUAUUUUUAUUUUUUAAUUUCAUAGGUAAGAAAAUCUCAAAAAAAAGAAAAUCUUUGAAAUAAAAAAUAGAAUGUUUUAUAUAAUUAUUUGAAGUUACUCUCACGUUAUUUUUACCCAUUCAAAGCUAGCAAGUCUUUAUGUACAAAAUGGUAUAGCUCUGCAAUUUGGAUUAACAUUUUGGUGACCUCCAUGUGAAGUGAAAGAAAAUUGAGAAUGUCACACAAUUAUUAUUUUUGCCUCCAUACCCCUAUGCCACCAAAGAAAGUUGAAUUAUUAAGGCACAAAAGUACUAAGGAGUAGGAGCUAGAAAAAGAGGGGCAUGAAAAUAAAGAGACUUACAUUUAUUAUUUGCAUAAUACAAAAUCAGUCUUUAAUAUUUACAUAUUUUAUUAAUUUGAAUUUUAUUUUUAUUUAGUUAAAUUUAACUUUAAACCCUUUAAAAAAAGUUAAAUUUGAUCAUCAACAUUUUAAAAAGAGUCAAAUUAUUAUUUAACGGAAAUGUUAAAUUUUGAAAUACAUAUAACAAUUCGCGUGUAUUUCAUAUUAUUUUUUUAAAUUUUUUAUAUUUUUUUGAAAUUUUUAUUUUUGAAUAUUGUUAGAAAAAUAUUUGGAACAUUGUUAGUGGAGUUUUUAACCUCCACCAACAAAAUUAAUGGGUUAAUAAGUGUCUUACAGGGAUAUAAUAAAAUAUUAAUAUAUAUAUAUUAAAAUAUAUAUAUAUAUGUUAAUUUUUUUAAAGUUGUGGAAUAAAAAUAAUAUAUUAUUGGCAUACCAAAUACUCACCUUUUUAAUUAAGAUUUAAAAAUAAAAAAUAGUUAGUAAAAUGAAUGGAUUGCAAAUUGAGAAAUUUGAUAUUGAAUAUUAAAAUUUUCUUAAAAAGAAGACAUAUAGCAAGAUAAGAAAGUUAGUGAUUUAUUUGAUUUAAUUUUAAUUUUUAAAUUGAUGCAUUUUAUUAUGAAUUUUUAUUCUUUGUGUAUUUUGUAUAAUUUGUUUGAAAUUUUCAAUUUUCAAUUUCUCACAUGAGUUUGAGAUAUAAAAAAAAUUACUCUUAGGAUUGGUGAAACAGUGGAUACAAGAGUUCAGCUUAUCAUAUAUUGAUGAUUUUGUUCUUCGAAAUAUUGUCUACAGAUAGGAUAUCAGAGUUCUAUUAAUUAGAGUUCCGUUAAAAAGUCGAAAUUUCUAUUUUAGCCUAGGACUCUAGGAGUUCUGUUAUCGAUAUUCUAAUUAUGAUCAUGAUCUAUAAAAAAUAUGAGUAACAUGUGAUACGUAAAUGAAAAUUUUUAUGAUAUGAUAAGUCAUAAAUUAAGUGAAAAUGUAUGAAAGUGUAUGAUUAUAUGAAAGACAAAAAUAAUUAAUUUAAUUUAAUGAUCUGUAAAAUUGAAAAAUGAAAUACAUGAAUUAUAUAAGAGAAUGUUGACGAUCAAUAUGUGGUAUGUAAAUGAGAAGGAAAAAAUUAUAUGACCAAAUACUAAAAUAAAUGAAUAAUGAAAUUAACUAAAUACUUUGUAAGUUCAAUAAUUUAAAAAAUUGUUAUUUUUCCCAUUCAAAGUUGAAAAGUCUUUUAUGUGAAAAAUAGUGUAGCUCUUCAAUUUGGGUAUAACAUUUUGGUCUUCUCCAUGUGAUGUGGAGGAAAAUUGACAACAUCACACAAUCAAAUCCAUUUUUUCUGCCAUACCCUUGUGCCUCCGAAGAAAGUUAAAUUAUUAAGGCACAAAAGUACCAAGGAGUAGAAGCUACCAAAAGAGGAGCAUGAAAAUAAAGAGAGAUACAUAUAUUACUGGCAUGAAAUAUUUACAUUUUUUAUUAAUUUGGAACUUCUUGCCUUUUACUACUAGCUUGAUUUGUAUCAUCGCUCUCACCUUUUUGAGCUUGUAUCUGAUAGUGAAACCAAAGAUUAGUGAAAGCCUUCGCACCAAAACUGAGUUCUAGGAACUGCAAUAGGAUCAAUUUCAACAACUCUAAUGGGAUAUUAAACAUUCCCAACUCUUAAGAUCACCAUCUCAUCAAUUUUACACAAUUAAAAUGAAUGUUUCCCUUCACAAAAGGUUUAGGAUGAGCAGCACCAUCGUCCACACUAAUAAAACUUCCCCAGUGAUUGGCGAUGUUUUUAAAUGUAGAGAUCGGACAAGCAUGGAUCGGAACCCCUAAAGUUGUUCUAUAAUUAACCAAAAUGUUUUCAGACCAUGACUCAACUUUUGUGAACCACCUCAUCGAAAUUUCAAUAAACUCUUUUAUAACCUUCUCCACCGUUAAACUCCAUUAGCAACUUGGAGGCCACCCUCUUCUAACCGCAGAGCAAGGUUCUCAAGAGUACAUAAAUCUCUACACCAUCCCAUAAUACAAAUUGUAGCUUAGAAAGUUUUUCUUCCUCGAUAAUCCCAUCUAUAGGAAUUGACUCUAUCUCUUUCUUACCUGUAGCCACCUCCUCCAUGAAACAAUUCUUGUUUAUAGCUUUUUCACCUCCGAGGGUUCCACUCGUAUCUAGAGAAUCCUUUGAUACCUCCAGAGCCUUUGAAGCGUGCAAAGUUGACCCAUAUUCUAUGUCCAAAUAAAUGGAACCGUUCAGACGAAGCGUCGCCCUUCUUGCAUCAGUAAAGUUUGCGAAUCUCACAAAACCAAAUCUUUCUCCUUUUUAUGAAGACAUCCAUAACCCUGCCGUGAUACUCGAAUAUCUUCCAAAGACCUGUCCAUUGCAUUCGUGGAGGACGAUUCACUACAAAAACAGUAACACAACUCUGUCCAGUGUCCACCACCCAACCCAUUACUCAUUAAUAAAACUCCUACUUCAUCACUUAACUAAAGCUUUCUUUUUGAUAUUUUUAUAUAUUUUAAUUUUGUUUUGUAUUCAAAUAAUUUGAUAAUUAACUUUUAACAAUUAUCCCAUAGUUUUUACUAUAAAUUUAAGGAAGACAAUCUUGAUAAAAUUAGUUUGAGGUAGGAACAGUUUAUUGGAACAGCGUAGUCUUUUAUAGGAUUAAAAAUAUUAAUGCAAGAAAUAAAAAACAAGUGAUUAAAGGUUUAGAACAAGCAAUCAAACUUAUUUUAUGUUAAAAUUUUCGAACAAUAUGAAAAUAUAUAAUUUUAAUUGUUCUUUUACCAAUUAAAUUGAUUUUUGACAGGUUUAACUAUUGACUUAAAAAAGAGUGUUAAUUUGAAUGGUUAAAUGUAAUGAUGCAUGGUUUGUCUGACAUCGUCACAUGGAAAAUGGGAUUAAAAAUGGAAAUUAAGCAAAGGCAAAAUGAAUAUAUUUAUUGUUUUCUAAUUUGGUGUAGGGUGCCAUAUUUGUUGAUAGCCACUCACUAAUACAUUAUAAAUGGAAUAAUUGCCUAUUUUACCUUUUUCAUGAAAUUUAUUGACAUCACCAGCUCAUUUUUCAACCACAUUACUCAAAUGAUUGACAGAGAGAGGUAAAAGUAAUUUAUAAAUGUAUUUCUUUUUUUUCGAGUAUAAUUUGUAUUUAUUUCUAGCCAUUUUUAUAAAGUUAUUGUUUAAAAAAGGGGUAAUUAUCAAAUUCAUAUAUGAUUUGGAUCCAAUGUACAAUUUGAUACAAACUACAAUUUGGUGUAAUUAUACACAUAAACUUGAAUUGUGAUUCAUAUGAGCACAUGAAACUUUGAUUUUGAUUCAAUUGUAUGCAUUUAAUGAAUGUAUACGUUUAAAAAAAAUGAAUAUUUACAUUUAUUUUCAUAUUUGAUUAUAUACAGGGGCGAAACCAGAAAAUUCUUUUAGGGGGCUGAAAUUAAAUUGUAAUUUUUACGAUAGCAAAAAUGUAAUUUCACCAUUUUAAUGGCCUAUAUCUUUAUAAUUUUUAAAUGAUUAAAUCAAAUUUUAUAUUUUUAGCGGAGCAAAGUACAAUUUUACCUUUACUAAUUUAAAAUUUUAAAAGGCCUAAAUAGAAAAUUCACCAUUUCAAGGGGACUGAGACUAGAGGUGAUCAUGGGUUGGGCCCACCCGAAAAAUAGGAGGGUCCAAGUAAAAAUAUAGACCCAAAAUAUGGGUUUCGGCAAAAAAAGAAGCCCGUUUAAAAAACGGGCCGGGCUCGGGUAAAAAUUUUUUGGCCUAGGCCCAACCCGACCCGGCCCGAAUUAUAUAUUAAAUAUAUAUAGUUUUUAUUUUUAAUCAAAUAUGUAUUAAAUAUAUACUUUUUUGGUGUUGUACAAUUUGAUAUGGGUUGGGCUCGGGCUUAGCAAUUUUCUUUUGGGCCGAGCUUGGAUAAAUUUUUAGGCCCAUAUUUUGGGCCCAGCCAAGCCCGAGCCUAAAAAAUGGGCCUAAAAUUUUGUCUGGGCCCUGCUCAGCCCAUGAUCACCUCUAACUGGAACCCCUGUCAGCCCCUUAGUUUCGCCCCAAAUUAUAUAAUAGUUUGUAUAUGCAAUAUAUCAACGUAAAAUUGUGCUAAUUCAAUAAUAUUGUUAGUGAUUUCUGAAAAUUGAAUCAAAUCAAUAUUUCAUAUAUAAAAUUGUACAAAAUCAAAGUUCAUAUACAACAUAAAUAAAUAAAUAAAAAGUUCAUAUAGAACAAUAUACAUUAAAUCAAAAUUUAUAUAUAAUUUUGAUAUUUAUCUCAUUCUUUAUUAAUUAUAACGUGUGAACGAGGUGAAUCCAAAUUUUGUCAUUUAUUUUCCUACCAUCUUUGCGAAAUAAAUUUCAACUUAAGAAGGAAAAAAUAAUUAACAUUUUCAAAUUCUAUCAAGAUAGACAUGUUCAUAGGUCAGACUCUCGGCUUAGGUUCAAAAGUUCACUAAAAUUUUGGGAGGGUUUGGAUAAAAAUAUCAUACCCAAAGAAUGGACUCGAGCAAAAAAAAAAGACCUGUUUAAAAUAUGGGUCGGGCUCGGGCUUGAAUAUUUAAGGCUAGACCCGUUUUAAGUUUAUAAUUUUUUAUAUUAUGUUAUUUUUUAUAUAUUAUGUAAUUUAGAACACAAUAAAAAAUAAACAUAUAGUAAAUAUAUAAUAUAACUCUAAUGUAAACAUUAAAAUAAUAUUAAAAUGACUAUAUAAAAAAUUUCAAUAAAUAAAAAUGUAUAAAUAUUAAAAUAAUAUAAUAUAAAUACUUUUUAAAAAAAUUAAAAAAUAAUAUAAGCGAACCUAAAAUGGGUUUAGAUUAGUUUUUUGUAAAUAUGGGAGUGUUUUGACAAAAUUUUAGGCCUAAAUUUCAAACCGGACCGAACUUAAACAAAUAUAAAAUAUCUUAAUAUCAUGCUUAAACCAACCUAUGAACACUUCUACAUAAAAAUAAUAUAGACGAAUUGAUGUCGUUUAGUUCCACAAGGUCAAACUUCAAAUUAAUACGAGUGUAUUAUUAAAAGUUUUCGUCCUCGCAUUACUUGUAAUUAGUUUAUGUCUUUUAAUUCAUUGAGAAGUAACAAGCAUGUAUGGAUGUCCAUUGUACAGGCCCAUUUUGACCUAAUCCAUUACAACCCAUAACCCAAGCAAAAACAAAACCUACCCAGGCCCAACUAAGCCUAACCCACCAAAACCAAAGCCCAAAUCAGCAACCCAAUUCAGCCCAAUCUACCUAACCCUAGCCAAUUUGUAGAAAAAAGAAACAGCAGCCACCCUAGGUGCGCCGCACCUAGGGCCUUCGUCCACCUACCCCCUGCCACCGCCUCUGACCAGCGCCGCACCUGCUCUCUGCCAUCGCCCAACUGCACCUGCAAGAAGAGAAACCAACACGCAACAACAAAUAGUAGACAUAGAUAAAAAAAAUGUUAAAAUCGGCUAUAAAAGCCGAAACCAGAGGAAUGUAAAGGGUUCGGCCCCUCUUUGACGAUUAAAAGAAAUAAAAGUUUUUUGAAAAUCUUAAAGGUGACUACUACCUUUUUAGAUCUGUUUUUUUUUGUUCUUUUAAAUAUUAUUUUUGUUUUUAAAUACAAACAAAUUAAAAAUAAGAAUAAAGGAGAAGGCUUUUUACCUUACCUGCGCCGCGACGGAGGUGGAGGAAGGCGAACGGUUUCGCCCCAUUUUUUGGGUCUUCGGCUUUCUAUUCAGGAGAUUCAGCCCCGGAUCUGUGGCCUGGAGGCCAUGGACUUCAAAAAAGGACGAAAAAGGUCCGAUUUUGAACCUCCGGCGGCCACACACGGUGGCUCUGCGGCGGAGACUCGUCGGAAAUCUCGAGCCGGACCAUGGCCGGACCUGAGAGAAAAAGAGAGAGUUUUCUCUCUGUUUUUUUAAAAAGAAGAUGAAACUGUUUCUUUUAGCUUUUUUUAGUAUUUAUAUUAAACGUGAAACGACGCCGUUUUAGCAAAAGGAUCCGCGCGUCGACCCGACCCGACCCGGAGGAUCCGCGUGUUUUCAGUUUUUGGGAUAUUUCGCGUGCAGUCCCCCUGAUUUUGCAGCGUAUUACAAUUUUAUCCUUUUGUUAUUUUCUCUUAUUUUUAAUUUAGCCCCUGCAAUUUUAUUUUUAUUUCGACUUGGUCCAUUUCAACGCUGCGUUUUGGGGCUGUGGUUUAUUUGCAGUUUUGGCCCUUUCCUUUUCAGCGCGCGUUGCAAUUCGGUCCUUCUUGUUUUUUUAUUUCAAAUUUGCCUAGUAUAUUUGUUUUUAUUUUGAUUUAGUCCCUUUUUAGCAAUCUUAUUUAUUUUGAUUAAUUAUUUUAAUGUAUUAUCAUUUAUUAUUAUUAUUGUUGCAUUUAUUAUUCUGAUUAUCAUUUACCCAUUCGCAUCGUUUUUGGAUUUGGUUAUACAUACAUACUUAUAUAUAUUUUUAUAUUUUAUAACUUAUAUACAUAUAUCUAUAUUUAUAUUCUUUACCUUCACAAAUAUAUGUAUACGUACCUAUAUAUAUAUAUUAUUUUAUAUAUAUACAUCCUUUUACAUUUUUAGGUUUUUAUAUUUUGUUCAUUAUUUAUUUAUUUAUUUACAAUUUUGUUAUUAUUUUAAAAGAAUGCUUUAACUUUAUUUGCUUAUAUAUUCAUUUUGUAUGCUAUUGAUUUGUCUUUUUUUAUUUAUCUUAUCUUUGAUGCUAUUGCUCGUGUUAUUUUACUUGCAUUAUCAUCAUCAUUUCAUUAUACCCAUUUUUAUUUAGAUUUCGAAAAAGAAAUUUUAGAAAUAAGUAAUAUUCGGUAUUUUGGAUCUUCGAGAGAAUCGAGCCCUAACGUAUUGGGUUCCGACUUUCUUCGUUGAACUUAAAUAAUUGAGAUUAUUCUUUUAAAAAUGAUAAAAAGCUCGUUACCGAGAAUUCAAUAUGUUGUGUCCUAACGCAUUGGAUGUGACACGUUAUUUUUUCGAAACGAGAAUUUUUCUAAAUAAAUGUAAUAUUCAAUGUUUAAUAUUUUGAGAAAUUGUGCCCUAACGUAUUGGGUUGCGAUUUCUUCAUUUGAUUUAAACAAUUGAAUAUUCUUUUAAACUUUAUUACACGAAUUUUUUCAAACUCAAGUUAAACGAUAUCGGGAAUUAAAAAAAGGAUCGUGUCCUAACUUACUGGUCGCGAUAUCUUUUUUUAAUCCAAGAUAGUUAAAUAUCUUUUAAAUAAGCAUUUUUCAUUCGCGUAUCGGGAAUUCGAGACAUUGUGUCCUAACUUAUUAGAUAUGAUUCUCUUUCUCGAAUAGCGUGAAAUAUGCCCCUUUUUCAGAAAUUUUUCAACGUUUUAAUACAAGGAUCGUAUUUUUAAAAUUCUUCAAAGUUCUCAAUUUUCGACAUUAAGACAUUAAGUAGUCAAUUAGGUACCAAUUUUGGGCGUAUCGAGGGUGCUAAUCCUUCCUCGUGCGUAACCGACUCCCGAACCCGUUUUUCUGAAUUUCGUGGACCAAACUUGUUGUUUUAAUAAAAUCAAACCGUUUAUUAAAAACAACUAAUUUUAAGGUGAUCCAAUCACACCUCAUAAAAAAGGAUUGGUAGCGACUCCCGUUUCUUUUUUCAAAACCCAAGUCGACCCCGUUUUCCAUCCAAAAAAUGGUGUCAACAUCCAUCUUCUACCAUAGUUGUCUUCUAAAGAACUUUAUAAAGGGAAGCUAUGCCACUCUAUUUAAGGGUUGGUUUUGGAGAUUAAAGUGUAAUUUUAUCAUCAUAUUAACUUAAGUUUUUUUUUUAAAUUUAAAAACGUGUAAAUGGUAAAUUUACUAUUUUUGGAAGGUCAAGGCUAUUGCUUCCCCUUAUCUUUGCCCUGCUAGUAGUUGACUAACACGGUCUCAUACAGUAAUACUCUUAUCGAAUAUAAAGCCUUGUUUAAAUGGAGAUAUUUAUAAGAGGAAAAAUACUAAAUAAUGCAAGCUCGCCCAUGCCUGGUCACUGUGAGCCCCUUUGUGAGGAAGCACCUGAUCUUCUCUCGAAGUUACGAGGUUAUUUUGUCAAGUUCUUUAGAGAGAGUUGUCUCACACCCCUAGGUAUUCUCUACCUACCCACUUGUGUCGGUUUUGGGUACACGUACCCUUUUGAUGAAGGUCGUUCAAGCUUUUCCUGGAAGUAUAAUUUUUACUUCCACUUACAAUUUCAUAAAAUAAUAAUUUAUCAAAUCAAAAUUAUUCAAAUACAAAUUCAAAAUAUUUGAAUCAAAAUUAAAUUGGAGCUCCUCACUCAGGCUUCUACUUUUGUGCAUUGAUAAUUCAGUGGCAGCACUUCCCCCUUGCCUUAAUUGUUGAAAAUUGAAUAAAAAUUGUACCUUUCAUUUCCUUCCCUCAGACAAGUUGUUCAUUGUUGCUCCCACUCUUCAGUCUUCUCUAAAAUAAUGUAGGAAUCCCAAGUCACUAUAAUUAGGUGAUGAGGAUGGUACUUACUUUUUUUCCAAUAUCAGGGUAUUUAUCGUUAAUAAUAGUGAUUGAUUUUUUUUGUUGCGAAUUUGUACAAGAGCUUAUGUAAGAGUUUAAUAUAGUUCAAUGAUUAUUUUAUAAUUUUUUAAAGUUAAAUAAUCAAAAUAGAAAUUAAUUAACAAUUUAGCUAGAGAGCUUACACGUAGUUUACCCAAAAACAUAUCGACAUGAUCCCCCAUUGGAGUCCGAAGCCAAAGCUCACAAAUUGGGUUAACAUUUGACAUUUGGGGUUUCAAAUUGAGAAUUAAUUGAAAUAGAUAACAAUUAGCAAUUAAUUGAGAAUAAACAAAUUAUAUUCCAUAUAGUGUAGUAUUGAAUAUAUGUUUACUUCAUUAAAGGUCUCUUUUUUAUUCAAUUAAUUUCUCCAACUCAAAUUUAGCAACUUAUUAUGGUACUAUGAGAUUAUAAGAAUGGUUUUUGGAAGUAAAUCAGUGAGUGAAGUUGUAAAAUUACUGAUUUUCGAUUUAAUUACUUUAAUCAUUGGUCUAGUUUCAAUUAAAAAAUUUAUUCAUGAUUUAGCCUAUAAAUUAUAUAUAUUCUCUCACUUUAGUCUAGUUUAGACUUGCCUAUGGCCCUGCUCGAAUGUCCACCUGAAAAGCGAGAUGAUUUAGGUAAAUAUAUAUGCCCAAAAAGUUGGUCUGGAUAAAAAAAUAAUGCUCGUUUUCUAAACGGAUUGGGUCUCAGGUAAGCUUUUCUUGCUCAACCUGGCCCGAAUUUGCAAAAAAAAAAACUAUUGUUGUUUUUUUUACUAUUUUAUCAUUGUUUUUCUAUCAUUUCGUUAUUAUAUUGCUACUAUUUUAUUAUUAUUGUUUGAAUAAUGCAUAACUCUUGUUUUAUUACUAAUUUUGCUACUAUUUUAGGGAUAUUUACUUUUUAAGUUACACUUAUCUCAGUGUUAUAUAUUUAAGUAUUUUUUUUUAAUUUUCAUUUGUUCGGAAACAUUUAUUUCAAAUUUUUUAGUGUAUUUGAUGAAUUAUUUUUUAAAAUUUAUUUUUAUAUUAAAAAUAUAAAAAAUUAAUAUGGGCAGACUAGGCUUUUAACAUUUUAAUCUAAGUUGGGCUUGGAUAAAAUUUUAAGCCUAUUUUUCGAGCUGAACCGAGCUCAGGCCUAGAAAUUAGGCCUAAAUUUUUUACUUGGCCCUAUCAACCCAUGGACAACCCCAGUCUAGUUUCAGUUGGGAAUGAGAAUUACUACUAUUUUGUUGUUAUUAAAUUGUUAAACCAUUGUUUUUUUUUUUUGGUGCCACUUCAAAAAGCCAUUGGGCCUUAGUCAAGACGAGGUAACAUAGAAUAGUUCAGGGUCCUAACUGGAAAAUAUCCCACAUUGAUUAUUGUGAUGUAGAAAGUGGAAAAUAUGUAACGAGCGUCAUUGGAAAGAUGUAUGUCAAACUAGUGGAGCCAUAAAUUGGUAGUUUUCUAAGGUUGGUUUCAAAAUGAAGGGGGAGCUCCCAAGUCAAAAUAAAAUUGUUUAGUAUUUUUUAGUGUUUCCCUUUUAGACAGGUUAAAUUGUGUAUUUAUAUGUAGGGGUGUUCAUUCGGUUAACCGAUCGGUUAAUCGAAUCGAACUUUUUUAAAAAAAAUUAACCGAACGAAAUUUUUUCGGUUAAUUCGGUCGGUUAAUCGAAAAUUAUAUGUUUUUUUAUUUUUGGUUAAAAAUUAACCGAAUUAACCGAAUUAACCGAAUUCCCGAAUUACCCGAAUUAACCUAAUUGAAUCAUACAUAAUUAAAUUAUUUUUAGACUUUAAUACUUUAGUUUUAGUUUUAGUUUUAGAAUUUGUUUUUAUUUAUUAAAUUAUUUGUAAAUUUUAUGAUUGGGUUGGUUUGGGUAAUUGGGUUGGAUUGAAUACUUGGAUUUGGAUUGGGUUUAGGUGAAUAGUGGACCUAUUUAUAUAUUAAUAAUUUUAUUUAUUAAUUUUUUCGGUUAACCGACCGGUUUCGAACCGAAUUAACCGUUAACUGAAAAUUCAUAAAAAAAUUAACCGACCCCCGACCGAAAAAAUUCGGUUAACCGACCGAUUACCGAAUUUUUUCGGUUUUACCCGAAUUAUGCACACCCCUAUUUAUAUGAUAUGAUUACUGUUCACAGAUAUGAUAUCGUAGGUAGGUUCCCAUGCAAAUCAACGUAUACCCUACUUUAGGUUAACAUGUAUUUAUAUGAGGUGGAUUUACAUAGUGCAAACCCACAUCAUGCUGUCUCGUAGAAGGUUGCAAACACCUUACAUGCGAACUCAAAGUGCGAACUGUAAUGGAUCAGUAAUAGUGAAUAUCAUAACAAAAGUAAAUUAAAAUAUUUAAUUCCUUCCAAAUAUUAAUUUCAAUAAUUAUUCAACUCCUAUUAUUUUAUCCUUUUGUAUAUUGAAUUCCUCUAAGCAAAGAAAAUAUCCAAAUUAAAAUUUUUAAUUUUUUUAGACAUAAUAUCAAAUUUAACCUUCAACGUUUACAUUUUUUUGUCAAUUUGGCAAUUAUUCUUUUUUGAGCUAAAUUUGACCCUUAAUCUUUCAAAAAAGAGUCAAAUAUUUUUUUAUGAAAUCUUUUUUUAAUGAAAACAUUAAUAAAAACAUUAAUUUUUUUAACAAUAAUGGUGUGGCAACCCGCAUGGUAGUCCACGUAUACUUCCAUACUAGUAUGACACUAUUUGUAUUAUAUGUCAUGUCAACAAAUAAUUUUAAAAAAGUAUUUAAAAUUCAAAAAAUUAUAAAAAGCUCAUAAUAUGUAAAAUAAAAAAGCAUGAAGUACAUAUAGAUUGUCAUUCAAACUAUCAUAUUUGAAAAUUUAAUGUUAUAAUCGAAAUUUUUUUUAAAAAAAUAACAAUUUAACUCUUUUAAAAUAUUAAUGGUUAAAUUUAACUUUUUAAAAAAAAUUGAAAGUCAAAUUUAGCUCAAAAAAUAAAGAUUAAACUGACAAAAAAUAUAAAUGUUAAAAGGUUAAAUUUCAAAUUAUAUCAUUAUUUUAUUAAACAAACCUUAUUAAAAAUGUAUUUAAAUUUUAUAAAUCUUAUUAAAAUAAUAUUAAUAAUUAUUCAACUCCUCCACACAAAGAAGCAUCCAAAUUAAAAAUAUAUAUUUAAUUCCUUUCAAAUAUUAAUUUGUUCAACUUCUUAAAUUAAGUAAUUAAUCAAUUUUCGUUUUAAACAAAAAACCGGAUAGGAAAACCAUCAUUUUCUCGGGAAACAAACAGAGAAAGCUGCAAACUUUCCAAAUAUAUACCUUACUCGAAAAUCUGCCACGUCUUAUCCUUGAUAUGAUGGUUUCUAACAUUGCCACUUGGCAAGUUAUUCAGUAACAAUGCCAAUCUGCCACCAUUAUGCUUUUCCUUGCAGUACAAAAUUCCAGGAUGCCUUUACUUCUUUUGCCUCUUGGAUCAGCAUUUACUAUCACCAAAAUCAAAAUCCCAACUUUGAAAAAAAAAAAGUUUAAUUUUUAUCCUUUUUUUAAAAAAAUUUAACAAUUUUUUAUUUUCCAUUGUCAACCUUGUAAAAUUCUUUUAUAUUUUUAUGUUUUUAGUGGGAUUUUUACAUUUGUUCCAAAUUAUCAGUUUGUCAAGUUCUUCAUGCUUUCCAUGUCCCAAAGGAUCACAUUUUAUUUAAGAAAUAGAAAAAGACAUUAUUUUUGUUCUUCAUGCAACUUAUAAGUUAUAGAGAAUGAAUUUCUUUGAUUUUAGCAACUAAUAUUAUGAUUCCAACAUUUAGGGUUUUAUAUGUUUUUUUUUCUGUAUGAAUUUGAACUUGAGUUAGCCAUAAAAACCCCACCUUUAAUCUCAAUAUAUGAACUUGGCUUUGCUUCUUAUGGUUAUUAUUGUUUAAUUUAAUUAAUGUCUUGAAAGGGUAUUCUAGUUUAAUUUAAUUAACUAGUCCAUUUAUUUUGAUUGAUAAUGAUGUUGCAGGUGCUUAAUCUUUCCAUUGAAAUGGAGAAAAUCAACUACCAGGACGAGCUGAAGAAAGAGCGUAGGCUUGUUCGGAGUCUCGUAUACGAGAUCGGUUACAGGAAGGAACAGGUGUCCGAAAUGGAACAUAAAUAUGACAAGACAACCACGGCUUUUCAAGAACUCGUUGAUGGCCUUGUAGCGAAAAUUGACUCCAAGGACAGUAGUUUGCGGGAUUGGGAGCUUCGAUAUAAGGAAAUGGGGAAAUGGUACAUAAAUAUGAUGAGACGACCGCAGCUCUUCAAGGACUCGUCGAUGGCCUUGUAGAGAAAAUUGACUCCAAGGACAGUAGUUUACGGGAUUGGGAGCUUCGAUAUAACGAAACCGUGAGACAAUUGAAGGGCGAGAACGCGGUGUUUCACCUUGUGUUUGCUAAAGGUAUACUUUAGAUUAUAUAUUGCAUACAUAGCGAGCAGAAGACUAUGCAUUAAUCCAAUCGUGUACGAUGAACAACAUGUCGUUUUCGAAGUUCCAAGGUUUGCAUUUAGAGCUUUGAUUGAUCUUUAGGCUAUUUUACACAUCUAGUUGCUUAGUAUUAGAUUCGGUGAAGAAGUUGCAACUUUAGGAUAGUGAAGGAGACAUAAAUGUCAGGAUUCGAACCCCAAACUCUGCUUUUAUAUCUGUUAUCACGGGAACCGGAUGAACUUAUGGAAACGAGGCUUGGAACCUAAAAGGAAGCAUAUAUAUUUGAGAUAUUCCGAUUUUCUUCCUGUUGCUAAUGCUUCUAUCAUACACAUUAGGAUUAUGUGAUCUUAUAUAUAUACACACGCAUAUAUACGAGAUACUGAUGAAUUUCUGCCUCCUGUUAUUGCUUAUAUCAUAUGCUUUAUGGACUGUUGCUUUACAUUUUUUAUGCAGAAAUUCAGAAGGAAAGGGAUGAAAAUCUUAAGCUGAAGUGCCAACCUGGCUUUCGAACCAAGUUGGUCGAAGAUUAUAUAUCUCGUAAUGAUAACGAUAUGGAACGAAGUAGCUUGUUGAAUGAAAUGGAAGGGGUUAGCAUACUCAUCUUAAUUUUGGUUUUCGAUAUAUGAACUAUCUUUUGUCGAGUUUGUACCUUUGUGUAAAUGAAUCCUGUUAUCAUGUUUAGGUUCAACGUUUUUAAUGGUUAUGAUUUGCCGAGUAGACUUUUAACAAUUCGGAUUAUAUCUGAUAUAGCCGAAAGAGAAUGUGGCUUGCCAAAAUCUUAUUGAACUCGAGAAAACUACAAGCGAGCAGAUUACUGCUCUAAAGAAAGAGUUGGAGGAAAAAUCAGAAGCGUUGAAAGAUAUGGAAAACCGAAACAGUUGUCUAACGGUGAAACAAGUCCUAACUAAUCAAGAGCUGCAAGAUGUUCGAAAAGAAUCCAUACGUGUAUUUUUCAUGUUUUCCUUUGCUUCCUCCUAUGUUUCCUCUUCGAAAUCGGGUUUAAACUUGAAAGUGUUAAACCCAAGACUUCUCUGGUUUUUGAUGUGCAGGGUUUGAACGAUUUUCUGAAUAACCAGACUAAUCUUAAGAGUGAAAAGAACGGGAGAGAUUGAUCAAAAAGCAUUCAAAGUUGCUUGCUCGUUGAAGUUCCAGGACGAAGAUUGGCGAGAACCGUGUGCUAAAACAUGUUCAUUAUGUUGUUCCAAUAGGGUCGGAAGCGUGUAAAUUAUUGUACUAAAAAAUCACAAAAAGUUCAAUUCCCAGGGAAGAGAGGUGGAUCACAUGGAUCUCUUAAAUACCAAGUCUUUUCUUAGACAGAAUAUCCCUUCUAUAGUAAUUUAAUAGCACAAUUAAAUACUACUAUUAUACCCUCAAAUAUUGAAAGAAAAAUAGGACAAGAAAGAACACAAGAGAUUUAACGAGGUUCGGUAAAUUAUACCUACGUCCUCGGGCACUAACACCAGAUGAUAACUUUACUAUCCCCAAAGUAUUACAAACAAAUAGAAUUCCUUAAGAAUUCUCAAAUGGGAGAAGAGAGAAAACUAAGAGAGAAAGAUUGGUUGGGAUGAAUUGAAAUGAGAAAUGAGAAGGCCUAUUUAUAGUUGAGGUUCAAGGACCAAACAAUAAAUAGCACAUUAUCUCAAGGACCAAAAAAAAAUUAUCCCUUGCCACUUUUCCAAAGUUGGUGGUUGUCAUUAUUGAUUGUCUCCCAUUAAUGUUAAUGGCAACCAUUAUUAAUUGUCUAUCAUUAAUGUUAACAAUCUCCACCUUGAAGAUUUGAUUAGGAUAAUCACAUCUUCACACACUUCCUUCAACUCCCUAAAUUCGAUAAAGCUAUCUUUUGUAGUGCCUACAAAUGCGCUCUCGAGCGCCAUACACCUGAAGGUGCUCAAAUUCUCAGGAUGUUAAUCAAGUUCAAACAAUGAUUAAACUUGAUUGUUGUUACCACCUUGGUCAUCAUAUCUGCGGGAUUAUCUGCUGUCGGAAUCUUCUAAAGUAGAAUUUUUCCUUUUUCAAAGACUUCUCGCACAAAGUGAUAUCUUACGUCAAUAUGCUUGGUUCUUGAAUGAUAGACUUGAUUUUUCGCUAAAUGAAUAGCGCUCUGACUGUCACAAUAUAAACUUAUGUGACUUUGAACAACUCCUAAGUCUUUCAACAAUCCAUUAAGCCAAAUAGCCUCCUUAACAGCUUCUGUAACUGCCAUAUAUUCUGCCUCUAUAGUAGAUACAGCUACUGUAGACUGUAAGGUAGACUUCCAACUCACUGGGGCUUUCGCAAGAGUAAACAAAUACCCCGUAGUUGAACGACGUUUAUCUAAAUCACCAGCAAAGUCGGAAUCAACAUAUCCAACUACAAACUGACCAAGUGCUUCAUCCUGUUCAAAAAUUAAACCAACAUCUACGAUUUUUCAAAGAUACCGUAGAAUCCAUUUCACAGCUUGCCAAUGUCCUUUUCUAGGAUCAUGCAUAUACCUGCUCACAACUCCAACAGCUUGUGAAAUGUCAGGCCUCGUACACACCAUCACAUACAUCAAACUCCCAACUGCAUUAGUAUAUGGGACUUUCGCCAUAUAUUCUCUUUCUUCUUCAGUUUUCAGAGAUAAUUGAGCACUAAGUUUCAAAUGAGAAGCAAGUGGGGUACUUACAUGUUUUGUGUUUUCAUUUACACCAAAACAUUGUAAUACCUUUUUCAGAUAUUGCUUCUGAUUCAAACAAAGCUUGCCUCUCUGUCUAUCUCUACUUAUCUCCAUGCCGAGAAUCUUCUUGGCCUCACUUAGAUCUUUCAUCUCGAACUCUUGAUUCAACUGAGCCUUCAGCUUAUCUAUCUCUUUUUGGCUCUUCGAAGCGAUUAACAUAUCAUCAACAUACAAGAGUAGAUAAAUGAAAGAUCCGUCAUGCAGCUUCUGCAAAUACACACAAUUGUCAUAUUUGCUUCUUGUGUAUUUCUGCCUUCUCAUAAAGCUAUCAAAUCGCUUGUACCACUGCCUCGGGGAUUGCUUCAAUCCAUAUAGCGAUUUGUUAAGCUUACAAACCCAAUUUCUACCACCAGCAUCUGUGUAUCCUUCUGGCUGAGUCAUAUAGAUCUCCUCUUCUAACUCACCAUGCAAGAAAGUCGUCUUAACAUCAAGUUGAGCUAGCUCUAAAUUCAACUGUGCUACCAAGGCCAACAAAAUUCUAAUGGAGGAAUGCUUCACAACAGGGGAAAAUACAUCAUUGUAGUCAAUUCCCUCCUUCUGAGCGUAGCCUUUAGCUACCAAUCUUACCUUGUAGCGAAUAUCCUUCUUGCUAGGAGAUCCAUCUUUCUUUGCGAAUACCCACUUGCAUCCGAUUUCCCUUUUACCUUUCGGUAAUUGCGCCAACUCCCAAGUAUUGUUCUUCCGGAGAGACUGCAUUUCUUCAUCCAUGGCGCUUUUCCAUUUAUCACUUUCUAAGCUUUGCAUUGCUUCUUGAUAAGUGAUAGGAAUAUCAUCAACAACGGGAAGGGCGUAGGCCACCAUAUCAGUAAAUCGAGCAGGUUUACGAAUUUCUCUCCAUGGCCUUGCAACUGCAACUGGUUCUGGUGUACUUAGUGGUUCUUGGGUCAGAACCUCUUCAACCUCUAAUUCCUCCAUUGUGGCUGGAGAAUUAGACUUAUUAACUGGGCAAAUCCCCAUCUGCUCAAACUCCACCUAUUUUGGAGUACACUCCACCUGCUGUGGAGUAUUGCUCGUCUGAAUAUCUUUAUCUGCUACCUUUUUCAAUGUGGCAGAUUCAUCAAAGGUAACAUCUCUGCUACAGAUCAUUUUCUUUGUGCUUAAGCACCAAAGACGAAAUCCCUUCACUCCAGAAGUGAUUCCCAUAAAGAGAGCUUUUUUUGCCCUCGGAUCUAACUUUGACUCCUUCACAUGGUAAUAUGCAGUGGUUCCAAACACAUGUAAGGAAUCAUAAUCUGUAGCCGGUUUUCCAGACCAUACCUCCAUAGGAGUUUUUCUUUCUAAUGCAGAUGAUGGCAAACGAUUAACAAGAUGGCCAGUGUAUGUCACAGCCUCAACCCAAAAUUGCUUGCCCAACCCAGCAUUGGACAACAUACAUCAAACUUUCUCCAGCAAUGUUCGAUUCAUACGCUCUGCCACUCCAUUCUGUUGUGGUGUAUCCCUAACUGUGAAGUGUUGAACAAUACCAUACUCUUGGCACACAUCGAAGAACGGAUCACUUUUAUAUUCCCCUCCAUUGUCCGUCCUAAGCCGCUUGAUUUUCUUGCCAGUCUGGUUUUCGAUCAUAGUUUUCCAUUUAAGAAAAACUCCAAGCACUUCAUCUUUAGUUUUCAUGGUAUACACCCAAACUCUUCUGGAAAAGUCAUCAACAAAAGUAACAAAGUAGUGUUUUCCUCCCAACGAAGGUGUUUUGGAAGGCCCCCACACAUCUGAGUGAAUAUAUUCCAAAAUACCUUUUGUAUUAUGGAUAGCAGUGCCGAAUUUCACUCUCUUUUGCUUUCCCAGAACACAGUGCUCACAAAAUUUUAAUUUGCAAGCCUUUGCACCUUUCAACAAUCCUUGUUUUGCCAGAAUUUGUAAGGAUUUUUCGCUGGCAUGUCCCAACUUCAUAUGCCACAACUGCAUUGAGUCCAAGUCUUUGUUACCGGAAGCUGCAGCGACUGCUCCAAUAACUGUACUACCUUGGUAGUAAUACAAGUUAUUUUUCCUGAUGCCCUUCAAUAUCACAAGUGCGCCAGAUGUCACUUUCAAAACCCCAUCUCUCAUAGUAACAACUGAACCAUUGGAUUCCAAGGCUCCCAAUGAGAUGAGAUUUUUCUUCAAACUGGGCACGUACUGAACAUCAGUCAGAACUCUGGUUGAUCCAUCUUUAUUCUUUAAUUGGAUUGAACCUAUCCCAACAAUUUUACAGGCAUUGUCAUUGCUCAUAUAAACAACUCCUCCAUUUAGUUCUACUAAAUCAGAGAACCACUCCCGGUUAGGGGACAUAUGAUAGGUACAACCCGAAUCCAAUAUCCACUCAUCUGAAUGGAACGACGAUGAUGAUGCAACCAGUGAUAGUUCAGAGUCACUAGUAUCAUGCUUAGCAACACAAGCAUCUACAGCAGCUUUUCCCUUAUUCUUCAGCUUUGGACAAUUUUUCUUCCAGUGGCCUUUCUCAUGACAAAAAGCACAUUCAUCUUUCCCGAGUCUGGACUUUGACUUUGAUAUCCCCUUUUGAGUUUUCUUCCGAGUGUAUGAACGACCUCGGACUACUAAAGCUUCUGUAUCUCUGAUUGAGUUUUUCUGUUUGUCCUUCUUUCUCUGUUCAUAACUGUAUAAGGCCGCACAGACUUCGCUCAGAGAUAUAUCACUCCUGCCAUGAAGUAGAGUAGUUUCUAGGAACUCAAACUCCUCAGGAAGUGACCCCAACAGCAUCAAAGCCAAAUCUUCAUCUUUGAAUGUCUCAUCCAUAUUCAGCAAAUCAGUGACUAACUGAUUAAAUUUGGUGAUGUGAUCAUUCAUUGUGGUACUUACGUAUGUGAAGCGAAACAGUCUUUUCUUCAAGUGGAGCUUAUUUUGACUGUUUUUCUUCAAAAAAAUUUCUUCAAGUGCCACCCACAACUUAUUUGCAGAAGUCUCCUUUGAAAAAGCAUACAUCUGCUCUCGAGAAAGGCAUGAUCGAAUUGUGCCACAUGCCAACCGAUUGAUCGCCUUCCAAUCUUUCUCCUGUACAUCAUCUGGUUUCUCUUCAUCAAUGGCAAUGUCUAGACCCUGCUGAAAAAGGGCAUCUAGAACCUCACUUUGCCACAUACCAAAAUGGCCCGUGCCAUCAAAGAUUUCCACGGCCAAUCUUGCAUUUGCAAUUGUCGGUCUUGUCCACAUGGACGAUGUUGAAGCUCCUACACCGACCGUUUUCUCCAUAAUCUUUCAAUAUAUCUAAGGAAAUCUUUUCUGAUGUGGAAGAUCAGUUUAAACUGCAACCACAGAGCAUACUACGAUUAACCUUCGGCUCUUGAUACCACUUGUUGUUCCAAUAGGGUCGGAAGCGUGUAAAUUAUUGUACUAAAAAAUCACACAAAGUUCAAUUCCCAGGGAAGAGAGGUGGAUCACAUGGAUCUCUUAAAUACCAAGUCUUUCCUUAGACAGAAUAUCCCUUCUAUAGUAAUUUAAUAGCACAAUUAAAUACUACUAUUAUACCCUCAAAUAUUGAAAGAAAAAUAGGACAAAAAAGAACACAAGAGAUUUAACGAGGUUCGGUAAAUUAUACCUACGUCCUCGGGCACUAACACCAGAUGAUAACUUUACUAUCUCCAAAGUAUUACAAACAAAUAGAAUUUCUUAAGAAUUCUCAAAUGGGAGAAGAGAGAAAACUAAGAGAGAAAGAUUGGUUGGGAUGAAUUGAAAUGAGAAAUGAGAAGGCCUAUUUAUAGUUGAGGUUCAAGGACCAAACAAUAAAUAGCCCAUUAUCUCAAGGACCAAAAAAAAUUAUCCCUUGCCACUUUUCCAAAGUUGGUGGUUGUCAUUAUUGAUUGUCUCCCAUUAAUGUUAAUGGCAACCAUUAUUAAUUGUCUUCCAUUAAUGUUAACACAUUAUGGCAACAUAAUGUGCAGGAUCCGAAUUGGCACCCGUAUAAGAUGAUCAACAUCCGAGGCAACUUGCAUACACCGAUUGCUCAGAAAACCGUACUGUUAUCAAACAUCUGUUGUUCUACGAAAUGCGAGCUGGUUCAUUACUCAAAACUUACAUAUUAAUGGGAUGCCUUCUCGGUAAUGCAGGAAAUAAUAGACAAGGAUGAUGAGAAGCUGAAGGAGUUGAGAAAUGAAUAUAGUGACACAGCGUACGAGGCUGUCAGCACCGCACUGAUGGAAAUGAACGAAUAUAAUGCCAGCGGAAGGUAUGCGAUCCCGGAAGUUUGGAACAGAAAGGAGGGAAGGAGCGCUACCAUGAAAGAAAUCGUUCAGUACGUCGAGCAACUGAAGAUUCACAAGCGUAAGCGAUUUUCUUAAUGCUGAGCUUAGCAGUCCAUUGCUUUCAUGGAAAAUAAGUAGAAUUAUACACAAUCCUUAGGUAGGUAUUAAAUUUUAGAAUUAUAUUUGACAUUAAAAAGAGCUAUUUGUUCAUUCCAGCAUGAGCUCCAAAAUUAGGCUCCAUAUUUACAAACCUAAAUUAAACUUACUCCAUAUUUACAAACAGAAAUUAAACCUACCUACGAUAGUUGCAUAAAAAAAUAUUAUCAAUUUAAAAAAAAAAGUAAUUAAGUUGUUGGUAUUUUUCAUUUAAUUAAAUACUUCACUUUUUAAAAUGUAUCAAAAACUUUCUUUAAAUUUUAAAAAAUAAUAAUUAAAUCUUUGUUUUUCUUUUACAUACUCAAUGGCUACUUCAACUAUCAAAAAAAAAAAAAAAAGAAAAGACUUUUUGACAAUUAAAAGUAACUGCUUUAAUUUUUUUAGUUAAAGUCAUUCAGCGUCACAACCAUACAGGCGUGAUGUGUAAUAAAAAAUUAUAAAAAAUAAAAAUUAAUAAAAUUAUUAAAUUCUAAUAAAAAAUAUAAAAAUAUUUAAAAUUUAUUUAAAAUGUCAUAAAUGUAUAAAUAAAAUAUAUUAAAAAUGUUAUUUAACCACUAACUUUAAUUGUUGACUAGUAAAGUCCAUAAUUUUUUUUUCAAUUAAAGCCAUCAUGUGUCGCAAUGCAAUGUGACCUGUGAUGAAAAAUUAUAAAAAUAAAAAUCAAUAAAAGUUACAGAAAAAUUAAAAAAUAUUUCUUUUGGUACAAUAAUUUUUAUAAUUUUUUUAUAAAUUUUAUAUUUUUAAAUUUUUAUAAUUUUCUUACUAUUUUAUAAAAUUUUAUAACUUUUGCAUUUUUUUAUAAUUUUAAAUAUUUUAUAAUUUUUAAAUUGUUUAUAAAUUUUAACUCUUUUUUAUUAAAAUUUAAUAAUUUUUUAACUUUGAUUUAUUUUUAUUUUUUUUAUAUUUUUUUACAUGUCACACUAUAAUUGUGACCUUUAGUGUUUUACCAAAAUAUUAGGAGUGGUUAAUUUUAACAUUCAACCGCUAAAAUUAACAAUCACAAGACUUUUAACAGUUCAAAUAUUCAAUUGGAUAAAAAAAUUUAUUAUUUAAUAAAAUAUAUUAAAAUAAGGGUUUCGACUCAAAUCAUGAUGAAUUGAGCCAUCGAACUUGAGAAAUUAAAAUGUGAACAGAAAUGGGCUCUUCAAAAACCCUUACCCGAGCCCAAGAAGAUCCCCCAAAAACCUUCAACUUAUAACCCUAAUUUGCCUCUCAACUACACUAUAAAUCCUAUCUUCAACAAGACUCAUUCAGCAUUUAUAUCUUCUAAAAAACCCUUCGUUCGUCUAAGGUUUCUCUUUAGAAAUUUUCUCUUCGCAGAGAGUAAUUUUUGCCUUCAUUUUUUUUUCUCUUUAUUUUCCCAUUUUCAAUCUGGGGUUUUUUCCAAAAUGAGUUAAAAAUCCAAUCUUUACACUAGAUGUGAACCCUAAUCACAUUUAUUUUAUCUGGGUUUUGAAUAAAAUCUACACUUGUUUGUAUACUUAUGAAAUAAAAGAACCAUUUUUAAUGCUUUGUUUCUUAACAAGAGUGCAGAAAUAAAAAGCUUGAUUUUUUGCUUCUUUUAAAACAAAGAAACCAAGGAUUAAGCAGCGGCCAGACAACCGUAGCGAUGAUAUCCACAGAUGAAGGGCUAAUUUCUUCUUUAAUCCCUUUUUUGUCUACUGAUUCCAUCUCACAUUUCGUUUUUUAAGUUUUUAGGGUUCAUCACUUUUGAAUUGAUUGAAAAAGCUCUAAUCAAAGUUGAAACUUGGUUAAAAAAUGGGUUUUUUUAUAUGAUUUUACCAUUUUCAAUGCUUUUUUUUUAUGUUUUUUCAAUUUGUAAAAUCAAAUGAGAAACAAUCUCAAAAAAGAAAAAACGACAUUAAUCUAUCAAUCAAUCAAACUGAUUUUGAUUUGAUCAGAUAAAAAAUCAUUAAAUAUCAUAUUCAUGGGAAUUGCAGAGGUUUACUGUUGUAAUUCUUACGAUAUUUUAUCAGAUAUAUUUUACAUCUUAAUAUAUCAUUAAUAUAAAGUCAAAUUUUUUUAACAGGUUAUAUUUUGAUAUUAGUCCCUAUAUUUUGUUGAAGUUAUGAAUUUAGUCUCUAUAUUUUUUAAAUUUUAAUAUUUUAGUCUUUAUUAAAUGAUAAUUGUUAAAAGUUAAAGUUUUGUUAUUUUUAAAAUCUAUUGCAUCAAACAUAUUAUCACAUGCUCAAUGUCAUGUCAACUUGUUAUUUUCAUGUAUUCUUUACUAAAAAUUUAAGGGUAAAUUAUCAAAAUAGUCACUUUUGUUUGACUCAGGUUACAUUUUAGUUACUUACGUUUGAAAUGUUACGUUUUAGUCACUUAUGUUAUCACGUUGUAACAUUUUAGUCACUGAGCCGUUAGUUUUUGUUAACGGUGCAACAGUAAACUGAUGUGGCACGUUAAAUCAUCAUUUCAAACAAAAAUUCUAGGUUAACUUAUACAAUCGGUCCUCAUAUUUUUUCGUUUUGAGCAAUUUAAUUUUUUUCUUUUAUGUUUUUUUUAACUUUCUUUCUUUUCCAUUCUCUUAUGCUUCUCUCUUUGUUUUCCUCCCUUCUCCAUUUCUUUCAACGUAGUUUUUCUAUGUUUUAUUUUUUUGAACAAUUUAAUUUUUUCGAGUGAGGCGAGCUUGUGGACUAGUUACAAAUGGAAAGCAUAGAAAAACUAUGUUAAAAGAAAUAAAGAAGGGAGGAAAAUAGAGGGAGAAGAAUAAGAGAAUGGGAAAAAAAGUUAGAAGAACAAAAAAGAAAAUUUUUAAAUUGUUGAAAAUGAAAAAAUAUAGGAACCAAUUGUAGAAUUUAACCUAAAAUUUUCGUUUGAAAUGAUGAUUUAAUGUGCCACAUCAACUUAUCGUCCAUUGUCGACAAUUAACGACUCAGUGACUAAAAUGUUACAACACGAUAACGUAAGUGACUAAAAUGUAACAUUUCAAACAUAAGUGACUAAAAUGUAACCUGAGUCAAACAAAAGUGACUAUUUUGGUAGUUUACCUAAAAUUUAAUUAAUAGAUUAACAACUGUUAUUUGAGUCGAAACUAAAAUAUAAAAAAUUACGACUUAAACUGAUCCAAUUAAAACAUAUGGACUAAAUCUACAACUGUGCUUACAAUACAUAAUUAGCAAUUGAAUUUAAACAAUUAGAUUUAACAAUAACUAUUUGUGUUAAAAGACUAAAAUUUAAAAAAGUACAGAGAGUAAAUUUGAAAUUUUGACCAAUUUGAAAAGUACAGAGACUAAAACUAACUAAAUUAAAGUACAAUGACUAAAUCCAUAAUUUUUAUAAAGUACAAGGAUUAAUAGAAAAUUGUAACCUUUUUAAUAAAGUAAUUUUGAUUUUUAUUAAUUUAUUUAUAUCUUUUGCUUUUGUAAAUAUAAUAUUUUUAAAUAUUAUUUUGAUUUUUUAUUAUUUUUCAAAAGUUUUUACUUUUAGAAUGAAUGGUCUAAUUUAACCUUCAGUCCAAUUCUUACAAAAUUGAUAAACACUAACAAUGCAUAAUUUAAUAAAACUUUUCAAGUAAUUUAUAAAAAAACACUCAAAUUAAGUAAAUUAAACACACAUUUCAUUUUAAAUUAAAAUUAUAAAUAUUUAUGUGUUAAAAAAUAAAAAUAAAGUAUCAUCGAAGCUGCGGGCUGCAAUCUUCCCAAGCAACUUCAGCCCCCAUUACUUCCCCACUCUUUUUUUUCUCUUUUUACCAACACUCAGAAAAUCAAAAUUUUACCACACUUUCCCUCAUUUUCCCGGAAAAUAAAAUAAAGAUAUUAAAACCAAACAAAAAUCCAAAAAAGGAACUCGGUGAAGAUUUAGAUUUAGACCCUGAAAUUUUUGCCAGUGAAAGUUUGACCAAAUUGCCAAUGAGAAGGGACAAUGUUCCACGAAGUAGAGGUCCGAUGGUCGCUGCCGGUGACCCUAGACGACAGAGAUUGGCCGACUAAAACGGCGUUGGAUUGCCAGUUUUGGCCUCAGUUUCGGCUCAUGCUCAUCCACUCCGUUUUCGACCCUUUAAUGCUUGCUUUCACGAUAUCGCCGGCGCCGGCCACGUUUGUGAUUAGGACCAAGUUGAAGUAUCGGAAACCGUUGAUUGUGAAUCUGAUUCCUCCUCGUUUCUGGCAUGGCACCCUGAAGAAUCAUACGAAAAAGGAAAUGAAGAUUGGGUCAAAUCUAUUGACACUAAUUGUUGAAGUUCGAAAAUCGGUCUAAUAUUUAAGAAGGUAAAAGCGUUUGAACGGGAUGAGAUCAUCUCAACAUAUUGGUUAGACCGCGAAUCGAUUAAAAUAUCGGAGAAAGUAACUUGAUCAAUUAACUCGAAACUAAUACAAAUCAAGAAAAUUACUAGACAAGUUAACUCGGGAUUUGAUACAUCUAAGUUUGAUUUUUAUUAUAUAUAAUUUUAAUUUCGGUUUUAAAAAUAAAAAGCUAAGGGAAUAUACCUUCUAAAAUAGAGAAUAAAAGGGGCGCAACUGGCUAAUCCUUUGUUCUAUUGGCUAUUGCUAAUGCCUUGGAAGUUGAAAGUGUACCUUACUUUGAUUAGUGAAUGGCCGAAUAUGCUUACAAGAAUAAAUUAAGAAAUUCAACGUGGCUUAACAUACAUUUGUAUUUACUGUCACAUGAAUUUGGAUAACAACGAUUGAGAUGGAGAGAAAAAUCAUAUCCAAUUAUGUUUAACACUAGCAUUACGUACAUAAGCUCACACCGACUGAAGAAAACUUUACAUAUACAAGUAGAAGAAAUUUCCGAAUGAACAAAGUCAGUCUUCGCAUCCUAGUUGUUGUUCCAUUCAAUCUCUGUAUGCCCAAAAGAAAAUGAGAGAAAACAAUUACUACGACUAAUGACAUUGUUGAUAACAGGAAAUAUCAUUGUCAGAGAAUUCAAGACUCAAGAGGGAGCAUAUAUAAUUAAUCUAUACUAUAUUACCAUACAUAUGCCCUCAAAUAUUUUUAAAAUUAAUCGUUCAAAUCUAAAUAUAUAUUUGAAAAGAGUAUACGAUAUUAUAAAGGAUCGUAAAAAUCGAAAUAAUAUUUAAUUCUAUAUCGUCUUCUAGAAAGAACAUGAGCUAUGGUGAUAAAAUAUUCGAAUUAUUCCUCUAAUCUCAUUUAUAUCAUAAUUUAAAUUUGAAGAACUUACGAGUAUCGAUGAGAAAACCCACAGGGUCUUUAAUGAGGGAGUUGUUUUAAUUUCUUGACUUAAAUUCAUUGAUUCUAAGGAAGCCUUUACAAACAGACAUAAUUAUUAAUUGAUCCAAUUUCAACAGCAUAAAGUAGGAUCAUAGGAUAAGGGCUUAGACAGAAACAACUUUAUUCUUUUUCUUUUAUGAGCGAAUCCAAAAAUUUUAUGUUGGGAGUUGUUUUUCCGCAAGUGGUGGGAACGGGCAUCAAUUAUUGCUUAAAAGUUAAGCUUGUAAUUUACAAUCAAGGCAUCCAUCAUUUUCUUCAUCCUGGUUAAUGAUAAUUCGAGAUAAAUGUUCCAUUUCCAGUUAAAAUAAAAAUUUUCUCAAGUUAAUUGUUUGAGGAGUAAAUUUAAAAAUAAUAAUAAGAUUGUUUUCUAAAUUAUAAAAAUAAAGAUACAUCAAAAUUAAAAUUUUAAAAAUAUAAAAAUUUUAAAAAUUAACAUAGAAUACACAUAGAUUGCUAUGUAGGUUGUCGUGUUUAAAAAUUUAACAUUUUAAUUAGUAUUCUAGUUUUUUUUUAAAAAAAACAUCAUUUCAGCUCUUUUUCAAAACUAAUAAAUAAGAUUAGAAAACUAAAAAUCGAAUAAAGAAUCGAAUUUAACUAGAUGUUGAGGCUUGUUUUACACAGUUUCCUUAACACAAAUUUGUCCGCUUCUACGGUACUUGGAGAAACAUUGGUCGACUGUCUCCCAUGAUACAAUAACACGAUGACUGAAAUAGCAUCACCUUUACAUGAAAUUGGCUGAUAUUAUGACGAUACUAGGUAGCAUAGAUAUCAUUAUGGGAGAAGUGGAUCGUUGAAAUGAUAAUUUAUACGACAGAAGUAGAAUAUAUCAAUUCCUUUUACACAUUGGAAUCUUUAAAAGAGGUCUAUGGGAUCAUAUGGAUGUUGGUCCCUAUUUUGACUCUUGUUUUGGGAAUCACAAUAGGUGUACUAGUAAUUGUAUGGUUAGAAAGAGAAAUAUCUGCAGCAAUACAACAACGUAUUGGGCCUGAAUACGCCGGUCCUUUGGGCAUUCUUCAAGCGCUAGCAGAUGGAACAAAACUGCUUUUCAAAGAAAAUAUUUUUCCAUCUAGAGGCAAUACUCGUUUAUUUAGUAUUGGACCGGCUAUAGCAGUCAUAAGAGACCAAUGAACAAACCUUGCAUUUUUCUGUCACCGGAACGUUGGAAAAUAUAGAGAGGAAAAGAGAAGAAUUUUCGAGAGCAAAAUAAACUUGGUUUUAGAGAGUCUUUUAGUGUAAAAAAUUUGAAGAAUUCUUAAGCAUUCAAGAUGGAGGAAUUUUGGAAAUAUCCAUAAUUAAAUAUAUAAAAUUUGUAUUAAAUGAGCAAUUAAAUCAUAAUAUAUGUCUUUUUUAAAUUAGAUUUUAUAUAUAUUUGCUGAGAAAAAUAAAUUUUGUGUUGGGCUUAAAAUAUCUAUCCCUUUUUGGGCCUGACCAGUUUAGACAUUUCACGUUGCCUACGUCGUGCGAGUGCGCUCCAACCCCGAUGGGUUUGGAUCUACACCCCUGCGCGUGAGACAAAGUUUCAAACUUAGUCAUUCAAUCAUCCUUCAAGUGGGUUCUCAUAUAUAGAGACAUCUCACACUUGGUAUUCAAUCAAUGUGAGAUCUAAGCUUUUCUUUUCCUCAACAAAUAUUCACAAGUAACUUACUUUGAGCAUUAAUUUCUCACUUAUCACUCAACCAUUUUGAGCAUACGAUAUACUGUUGUAAAGAUAUCAUUGAGUAGAAUAUAAAAUCAUAAUUUUAUGAUUCAAUUCUCCACCUUUACCAAUUGAGAAUAUGCUUUAAAGUUUCCAAAAAUUACAAUUUUUUCAACAUUUUAUACAUCUAUUUUAAAGGCAUAAUUGAGCCAAGUAGAGCCCGAAUAAUGACAAGUUGAACUUGACUCGAACAUCACUUUUUAAGGUCAAUCUUGAUUUAGAACAUAAUUGAGUUGAUUAAGCUCGUUUAUCAAUUUUUAUAAUCAAACCCAUUCAUAAUUAAGCUCUUUCUAUAUAUCAAGGAUAAAAAUGUAACUUCAUAAAUAAAAAUAUAUUUAAAUGGAAUGCUUAAUUAGGUUUGUGGCCUACUUGAAUCAAGUAUUACAAUAUUUAAAUUCGACUCAACCAAUAGCUCGAGCUCUACUCAAUAAUUUUCAAUAAAAUUUUGAGAUUUUUUGAAUCCAACUCGAAUUGCUUGCAAAUAUUAAUGUAUCACUUAUGCUUUUAAUUUUAAAUUUACAUUUUUAAUUCUUAAAAUAUUAUUAAAACCCAAUCAAUUGAAGGCUUUGUAGAAAGUGGUGGCAAAGUGCAUCCUUUACUUUAGGUCUCACUAUAUCUAAAAAGAAAUUAAUGCGAACCGUAGAAAGUGGUAGGAAUGUGCAUCAUUAUUGCUUUAAAAGAAUUUAAAUCUUUAAACGGAUAGAAUUAAAUUUUCAUAAUUUGGAGGAGUUAAAGUGUACUUCUUUUUACUAUUUUAAAAUUUUAAAAUUUUAAAAUUUUUUAAAGAGUUAAAAUAACAUUUUUUAUUUUAAGAGGGCCGAGCUCCCUGUCAACCUCUAGAUUUACCUCCGUAAAUUUCAAAAUUCAGUUAAAUUAUGUUAUUUUGAAUAAAACGUUAAUUGAUAAAGAAAUUCUUUUAGUUUCAAAAAUUCAAUUUUUCUGUUUUAAAAAAAUAUAUAUUAAAAUUUAAAAUUUAAAAUAUUAAAGUAAUAAAAUUUAAAUAUAUCAAUGUCUUUUUGAUACAUGCAUGAAUGGGGUGAAACUUAUUAGAUUCCAAUCAUCAAAACUGCCAAUUUUCAGGCUCGGAAAAUCAGCAGACUUGCGGCGACUGGAUCCUGGUAUUUUUGGGUUGAGAUGUCUCAUGGCGUUUAAAGAUCUAUCUCUUAGCUUUGAAACGCAUUUUGAAUAACUCGAUUUUGAGUUCGGGAGCUCAAGUUAUGACCGUUUUAGUGAAGACUACGCGAGAAGAAUUUCUGAACGGGAUUAUGACGGGAAUUACAAAUUUCGGGCUUUUAAUUCGAGUUUAAAUCAUAUUGGAUUCGGGUUUUAGACUUAAUUUUUAUUAUAUAUGAGCCCAAUAUUAUAUUUGUCAGAUCUUAUUAUUUUAUUAUUAUUUUAUUCUAAUUUUUUUUAUAAUUAUUAAGUAUUUUAAGUUAUUAGAGUUCUAGUAUUUUAAGCUAUAAAGGCCAGAAAAAUGUAUUCUUGGGGGUGAUUUUUGAAGGUAAAAAAGCAACAGAAAAUCAAUACAAAAUAAUCAAAAAUUUCAAACAAAAAAAGAGAGAUUUAGAAGGUAGUUUUUUUUUCUCUGUUUUUGUUUGUUUUAUUUAUUAUUUUUUCUUUCUUUUUCUAAACAGAAACACAGAAAAUAAAACGGGACCGAAAACUCACCUUUUUAGAGGGAGGGCUGAGAGAGAGUUGAGCAAGAAGAGAAGGAUUUUUUUUUUAAAAAAAUGAGGUUACCAAUGAUUUUUUAAAGUUUUUUUAAAUUAUAUAAACACCCCAAAACGACGUCGUUUUGAGUUUGGCUUCUGACACUUAAAACGGCGUCGUUUCACCCUUGACCCGCGUGCGACCUGACUCGCUCCAUGGGGAUCCUCGUGUUUUCAAUUUUUAGGCUAUUUACGCCUCUGGUCAUCCCGCGUUUUCCGGUUGUUUUAAUUUAGUCCCUUUUUUACUUUUUUUCUCUUUAUAUAUUUGGCCAUUGAUUUUGUGGCGUGUUUUAAUUUAGUCUCUGGCUCGCUAAAAAGGACGCGUGUCAAGGAGAUCGGGUUAUUUUCCCAUUUGGUUCUCGUUUGUUUUCGGGCCUUUCGAAUUAGUCCUUUGUUCUUUUUUUAUCUUAAUUUAUCCUGCUAAUUUAAUUUGAGUAGCAAUCGGGUCCUUUAUUCAUUUAUUUUUGUGUAUCUUUAUUGUGUAUCUUUAUUUAUUUUGCUUUAUUAUUUUUACUUUAUUACUCCUUUUUAUAUAUUUGUUUAAAAUUGGAUUGUGUAUAUGUUUAUUAGUUUUUUUUUUCUUUUGGUUAUCAUUCUUUUACUUUUUAAAUAUUUAAAUCUAAUAUUAUGAACAUUUACUUUAUCUAUUUACUUAUUUAUUUAUUAUUCUUUUACUUUUCAAACGCUUAAAUUUAAUAUUAUUUACAUUUGUUUUAUCUAUUAUUCACUUAUUUUUUCUUUUACUUCUAAAGAAAUUUUAAAUUCGAUAUUAUUCGUAUUUGUUUUAUUAAUUUAUUUUUUAUAUUUCAAUUUAAUGAUAUUUGUUUUAUCUAUCCAUCAAUUUAUUAUAUAUAUAUAUAAUUAGAUACCACUUAUAUUCAUUAAGCAACUUUCAUUUUCAUUUAUAUUUUGAAUUAUUUUAUUUAUUGUGUUGUGGUGUUAUAAAUUGAUUUUUUUAUUAUUGCUAUAUUCACUGUUAUUGCCAUAGUAUUUGGUCAUUUAGUUGUCAUUUAGUAUCCUAAUAUAAAUCGUACUCAUAGUCAUAUCACAUUAUUUCAUUACCAUUGUAUUAUACACUAGGUUCACACAUAUUUAUCCAUUUUUUUAUAGACGAUGCCCGAAUUAAACAUGUAUGCCUUGUAAGUGUUACAUUAAUAUUUUAUUCGGUGCACAAAAAGAAAAUUAUUUUAAAUAAGUAAUAUUUCGUAUUUUAGAAUUCGUAAAUUCGUUCCUUAACUUACGGAGUUUCGAUCUUCUCGAUAAAUCUAAAUAAAUGAACCUUUUUUAAAAACAUAAGUUUUUAAAUAAUCUCAGGAAUUAAGAAGAGAUCGUGUUCUAACUUAAUGGAUAUGGUUUCAUUCUAAAACUGAGAUAAUCGAAUAUCUUUUAAAAUAAAUAAAUUUUCGGUGUUUAUUCUCGUUUCGAGGAUUUAAGGUAUUGCGUCCUAACUUACGGGAAGUAAUCCUUUUUCUCGAUUAACGUAAAAUAUUUUUUUGUAAAAAUUCAAUUAAGCGAUAUUGUAACAAAGGAUGGUAUUUUAAAUCUCUUUAAAGUUUUUAAUUUUCGACAUUAAAACAUUAAUUCAUCAAUUAGGUACCAAUUUUUGGCGAGACGAGUGUGCUAAUCUUUCUUCGCACAUAACCGACUCCCGAACCCGUUUUUCUUAAAUUUCAUAGACCAAAAUCAUUAUUUAAGUAAAAUCGAAACGUUUUAUUAAAAUGAUUAAAUUACAAGGUGAUCCGAUCACAUCUCGAAAAAAUAUCGGUGGCAACUCCAGUUUUUUCAUUUUCAUUUUUAAAAUAAAAGUAGACCCCUUUUGUUUCAAAAAUGGAGAAAGUGUGUUCCUAUCUUUUGUCAGCUUUACCAAAAGGGAAAAUAAUUGGCGAUAGAAUGUUGCUUUCUUUUGUCAACUUUUUAGCUGUAUCCACUAAAUGAUAAGAACUGCAUUCUCAAGUAUUUGUGUUUCUUUAGGAUUCUAUUGUUUACAUCUCAAUUUUUUUUUUACAUUGAGUUGCACUUUGUCAAAUUACUUCUCGCAUUACUCUGUUAAGAAAAUUAUCUUUUCGCUCGUUCGUAACUACGAGAACUAAUCGCUGAAUCCUUCUCUUAUUCGUUGGAAAGGUACGCCAUCUGCUUUCAUUUUGGUUGAUUUGGUCUUACUUCUUGGUUUACAGAAGCUUUACUUUUUGCUCAUUUGAUUUGUAACUUUUUCUUCUGAUUUUGUUUUAAUCUUUGUUGUCGCUGUGGUUAUUCAGUUUACUUCUUGUUUGACCUCUCAAUGGAGUCUGUUACUACCCUAGUUGGCUCUAUUGUCACUAAAGCUGUAGAGUAUACGAUCUCUCCUAUCAAAAACCAUGUCAAAUACCUUUCCAAUCAUCAGCAAUAUGUUGAGACCCUCAAGGACCGAGCUGAGAGGCUGAAAGAUGCAAGGGACAGAGUGCAGCAUUCUGUUGAUGCAGCUCAACGAAACGGUGAAGAGAUCGAAGGGGAUGUUGGCAAAUGGUUGUCUGCAGUCGACAAAAAGAUUCUUGAACAAGCAGAGAAAGUGAUGCAAGAUGAAGAAAAAGCAAAGAAAAAGUGUUUCAUUGGUUUGUGUCCUAAUUUCAGGACUCGUUACAAGCUUAGCCUGAAAGCCGAAGAGGAGGCAAAGGCUGUUGCCGAGCUACUUGAACAUGGCAAGUUUGAAAGGGUUUCCUAUCGUGCAGCUCCGCAAGGUAUCGUGGUUGCACCAGUUAAAGGUUAUGAGGAAUUCGAGUCAAGAACGUCCAUUUUCAAUGGAAUAAUGGAGGCACUAAAAGAUGAUAGCGUCAGCGUUGUUGGGGUGCAUGGUAUAGGUGGGAUUGGAAAAACAACGCUGGUCAAAGAAAUUGCUAGAAAGGUCAAGGACAAGUUGUUUGAUUCGGUUGUCAUAGCAACCGUAACUCAAGCCAUCGAUAUUGAGAAGAUUCAGAACCAAAUUGCAGACUUCUUGGGCUUGAAAUUUGAGGAACAGAGUAUGGUUGGAAAGGCAUUUCGACUACGAGAAAGAUUGAAGAAAGAGGAGAGGAUUCUGGUUGUCUUGGAUGACAUUUGGGGAAAGGUUGAUAUUGAGGAAGUAGGGAUUCCUUUGGGAGAUGAACACAAGGGCUGCAAAUUACUAUUAACUUCUAGAGAGCUCAAUGUUUUAUCAAAUGGGACGGAUGCUCAGAAAAAUUUUCCCAUUGGGUUUUUAAAUGAAAAGGAAGCCUGGGACCUGUUCAAGAAGAAGGCUGGCGACUGUGAUGAAAGUUGCGAUUUGAAGCCUAUAGCUAUGGGGGUAGCCAAAAAAUGUGCAGGACUGCCGAUAGCUAUUGCGACAGUUGCAGGGGCUUUGAGAAACAAAAGAUUGUUUGAAUGGAAGAAUGCUUUACGAGAACUGGAGAGGCCUUCGUCAAGCAACUUCACGGGGAUAACUGCGGCAUAUUCAGCUAUAGAGUGGAGUUUUAAUUAUUUAGAAAGCGAGGAAGUUAAGCGGACUUUCUUGCUUUGCAGUGUAAUAGGCCAUAAUGGUCUCGUUGAGGACUUGGUAAGAUACACUCUAGGUUUGGGUUUAUUUGAUGGUGUCAACACUAUGGAAGAAGCUAGAAAUAAAGUAUUGACGGUUGCGGCUAAUCUCAAAGCGUCUGCCUUGUUGCUUGAUAGUUAUAAUGAUAAGCGCUUUGAUAUCCAUGAUGUUGUUUGGGAUGCUGCUAUAGCUAUUGCAUUGAAGGACUACCGUAUGCUUGUUUUGAGAGAUCAUGCUCCAAAGGAGUGGUCCGAUAAGGAGAAAAUGAAGACGUGGAGUGUGAUCAGCUUACGUUGUCCUCAGAUUAUAGCUAACCUUCCUAAGGAGAUGGAGUGCUCAGGACUUUCCUUUUUCCACAUGGCCUAUAAUGGCGCGGUUAAAAUUCCUCUCAAUUUCUUCAAACAAACCGUAGGCCUGAAAGCCUUAGAUUUGGUCGGAAUGCAGUUUCCAUCCCUCCCUGAAUCAAUUAUUCACCUUGCAGAGCUUCACAUGUUGUGUCUAAAAGGAUAUGCAGUUGAUGACAUAACCAUCCUUGGAGAGCUCAAGAGUUUAGAAGUACCCAACCUUUCUCGCUUAGGUAUCAAAGAACUACCUAAGGAGAUGGCACAAUCGACUCAAUUAAGGUUGUUAGAUUUGCGUGGGUGUAGAGAACUCAAAAUCAUCCCACCGAAUGUCUUAUCAGGUUUGUCUAAAUUAGAAGAAUUAUAUAUGAGUAGGAGCUUUGUUGAAUGGGAAAAGGGAGGAGUAGUUGAAAAUGAGAGGAAAAAUGCAAGCCUUGAUGAAUUAAACAAUUUGCCUUGUCUAACUACUUUAUAUGUUGAUAUUCUUGAUGUCCAAAUGAUACCAAAACACCGGUUUGUAGAAACAUUGGACAGAUUCAGGAUUUUCGUAGGUAAUUAUGGAGGAUAUAAUUGUUGCCAGAAUUAUGAAUCUCCGAAAGCAUUGAAGCUCAAGUUAUAUACAAACAUUGAUUUGGACAAUGGGAUGAAAAUGUUGUUGAUAAAGACAGAAGAUUUGUGCCUAGAGGGACUUGAAGGCGUCAAGAAUGUACUUGUGGAGUUAAAUAAUGGGAAAGAUCUUUCAAAUUUAAAGAGAUUUCAUGUCAAAAAUGGUAGGCACGUCCAACAUAUCAAAAUGAACAAAAUUGGAUUUUCUGAAUUAUGCUUCGUUAAACUUGAAAAUCUACCGCAACUCGUUAGCUUUUGCUCUCCAGACGAAAGGUGUUCCACUAAGCCCUUAUUACUUUUCAAUAAACAGGUAUUUGUUUGGCUUUACUUAUAUUUUCUUAUACUACUUUUAUUUAUAUGCCCAUUAAUACUUCUAAUAGUAGAAAUAAAUAAUAUUGUGUAAUGGUUUCUCCGGAGCUCAAAAAUAAAUUUCAAAUCCAAAACAAAUUAAAAUUUAAUUUUUAAUCCAAACCGAUUCAAAAUCAAUUCAAUAAUCUAAAUUUAAAUCCAACAAUUUUUUUUAAUUCUGAGAAUAAAAUUUGAGCCCACAAAUCGAACUAAAAUUAUCUUUAAAAUAAAAAAUCAUAUUUUCAAAUUAUGUUACAUACUAUCUUUCCCUAUGGAAAAAGAAUUGUGUAAAUAUGUGCAAUUUAUUUUCCCUCACUUGGAAAGCUUGUAAUUGUGUUCCAUUAACACGAAAAGAAUAUGGCACAACCAGACAUGUCAUUGGGUUACGAAUUUGAGGAGCUUGAUCAUCAAAGGAUGCGGCAAGUUGGAGCAUCUGUUAUCACCCUCUCUCGCUAGAAGUCUGGUGCAGCUCCAAUGCUUUGAGAUAGAGGAUUGCAAUUGCUUAAGGGACAUAAUACUUACAGAGGAAAUUGAAGAAGCAAGGAAAGAUGUGAUUUGUUUCCCUCGAUUAAACUCCCUGCAUAUAGAUCGUCUUCCAAACCUCAUCUUCUUCAACUCAGGAAACCACAAUAUUGAGUUCCCAUUGUUGAAAGUGCUAAAGAUUCAGCGUUGCCCCAAGUUAAUAGAAUUCAUUAGUCAGAAUAGUAAUCAGUCCGGCAUGCACGCUCUCUUCAGUGAGAAGGUGAUUUAUUUCAUUAGUCUUACAUUCUUGCAUAAAUCUGUUGAUUUGUCCUUGUUUUUUUUUCUGCCUUCAUUAUUUGAGCUAACCUUAUCAUGGGCAUGGAUUAUAUAUAUAUAUAUAUAUGAAUAUAUAUGAAUAGGUUGCAGUUCCUAGCUUGGAAGACAUCAAUAUCUGGGACUUGAGUAAUGUGAAGAUGAUAUUUUAUAAUGACCUAGCACCAGGUUCCUUUAAAAAUAUACGAAAAAUAAAUGUUUGGGGAUGUGGGAGUUUGAAAAAUCUAUUUCCAGUAUCAAUAGCCAAAGAUCUUCCACAACUUGAACAUUUAAGCAUCACUGAUUGUGGAGUUGAGGAGAUUGUAUCGAAAGGGGAUGGAGUGGAGGAGCAGCCUGUGAGGUUUGAGUUUCCGCAAGUAUCUUUCCUUGAGGUUACAUGGGUAGAAAAGCUCAAAUGUUUCUAUGAAGGGCAACAUACAAUAGUCUGGCCGAUGUUGAAAAAAUUGAGAACAGAUAGUUCUGCUUUGCUAAAGAUAGUGGCAUCGGAACAUCUUAGAUUAAUCCAAGGAAAUAAGCAGCCAGUUUUGUUGGGUGAAGAGGUAUGUAUAUCAUUACAACUAUAUUUCAUUUUAUGAUUUAAACCACUGCCACAAGCAUCUCAAGUUGAAAUAUGCCACGAUAAUGCAUUUCUAAUUUUUAUAUUUUGUUUUAUUUGGAUUUUUUUUUCGUAUUUUUGAAUUUUCAAUAUAUAUUUUAAAUUUUUUGUUACAUUUAUAAUUAUUUUUUCAUUUUUUUUAAAAACAAGACUGAAUAAACAUAAUAAGUAAAUAUUGAGUGAAUGCAAUUCAAUUUAAUAAAAUGUAUAAAUAUUGAGAGUUAAAUUUAUUAUUAUGUAAAAAAAAAGCUUAAAAAAAUGAAAAUAUUUUAUUUGUUUUUAAGUAUCCAAAAUGAAAAUAUUUUAACACUAAGUGACUGUAUAUGUAAUUUACCCUGCAUUUAAGUAGUGGGUCAAAACUAAAUAGAACGUUUAAUUUGCUAAAAACAAUUGCCACUCAAUAAAAAAUCAAAACUUUAAAAGUUAAUUACACUAGACAUCUCAAACUAUGACCUUCAUUUUAAAUUAGUCUUAAAAUUUAAAAUAUUCUAAUUACAUUCUUAAACUAUUGAGGUUAUAUCAAUUACGUCUUUCUCUUAUUAAAUUCGUUAAUUUAACCAUCAAAUUAAAUCAAUGUAAUAUUUUAAAACCUUGGUGUUUUAUCUCCACUAUUCUGCUUAUAUUUUUUGUCAUAGAAAAAUAUAUAUAUAUAACAAUGGUUGUUUAUCUAUUUUAAUCUAGAUUUGCUACUCUUCUUUCGGCUUUCAUGUUCUGUAAUUUUUAUCAGUUUUUAUUCUCAAGGUAUUGUGUUUUCUUAAAACAAAAAAUUCAUCUACUCUGGAUUCAUUUGAUUUAAUAUUGAUUUUGUUGGGAUUUAAUCAUCAAAAUCAAACACUAAAAUUGUAAAUCUCUUUUUUUUGUUUGUUUGUUUUUUUAAAGCAUAUACAUCAACAUUGAGCCUAACUUGUAUAUGUUUAAUUGGUUUCCAAGGUCAUUCCCAAAUUAGAGGAACUUGAGUUACGAAAUUUUGGUGAUAUGGACCAAUUUCCACCAGACUUGUUUCAACAUAUUAAAGUUUUUGCACUGAGUGGUGGCUCUCCAUUUUCUUUGUUUCCUUUCGUCCGAAGAUUCUACAAUCUGAAAAGACUUGAGGUUUCUAAUUUUGAUUUCAAACAUGUAGUCCCUUGUAAAGGAGACGUCGGGACUCUCCCAUCAAUUAGAAAUCUGAAAUUGGUUUCUGCCAGAAAUCUUAAGCGUAUUUGGAGGAAAGAUUCGGAGCUUGACCAUAUUCUUUCUGAUCUUCAAACACUCACAAUUCACAAUUGUGAUGAUUGGAUAAACAUUAGAGUCUUCUCAUCAUCUUUACAAAAUCUCACAAUUUUGAAUGUGUCACUUUGUAAAAUGAUGACAAACUUAGUUACACCCUCAGUACUUCAGAAUCUUGUGCAAUUAACGACAAUGAUCGUAAGAGGGUGCACUAAAAUGACAGAAAUAGUGGGAAACGAGGGAGACUGUCAUCAGACAAUAGUUGUUAGUAAAUUGAAAUGUUUACAACUAUGCAAUUUGAAGAGCCUCACAAGCUUUUGUCCAUGGUAUUACAACUUCGAGUUUCCUUGUUUGGAAGAAUUAGUUGUGGAACAUUGUCCUUGGUUAAAGAUCUUUUCUGAGGGAGUUUUAAGCACCCCACAAUUACAGAGAAUAAAACAGUCGCAUUACGGUGAGAAAUGGAGUUGCAAGUGAGAGUGGUGAUGCAAGUGAAAGCGUGGUUGGCGAAGGGGGCAUCUAUGAUAACACUGCAACUUUUUUCAGCAAUAAGGUAAGUUUGGUAUUCAAUAUUUAUCUGCACAACUUAUUUCACAUUUUCUUUUGAUUUGAUCAACAUGAGUGUGUCUGGUCUAUAUAUACAUACUAGUGCUACACCUUGUCAAAAUUGAAUAUAAUAAAAUCCAUAAAAAUAUUAAUAAAUAAGACAAUAUUUAAAAGAAAAACUGGAGUUUAAAAGUAUAAAUAAAUAUAUAAAAUAAGAAUUGAAGGAAAAACUUAAAGUGAAAUACUAAAAAACAAUAAGAAUUUAAGAGAAGUUUAAAAUUAAAUAGUAAUAGACAAUAAAUAAUAAAAUAACAAUAGAAAAAAGAAAACUAAUCUUCCUUUAUUUUAAUUUGUGGGUGUAUAAGAAGGAGAUAAUUGUGGAAGACCUUCACAAAGGUCAUUUGAGAUCAAAGGAGAAGAAGCAUGAAAACAAAAGGUGAGGAGUUUGAAGAAGAAAGAACCAAAUAUAUGGGUUUGAUUUAAAGAUUUAAUGUUUUUUUUUUAAUUUCAUAUAUAGAAAAAAUCAUUGAAAGAAAAAAAAAGUUCAAUAUAAUUACUUAAAUUUACCUGUCGGUUUUUAUAAAAGUAACUUAAAUUUUUGAUUAAUUAUGAAAAUGACUCAAUUUAAAAAUUAUGUACAUAAAUUAUUCGAUUUCUAUAGUGUUUGUCGGUGCCCCCAGACACAAUGGCGAUAUCAGACUGAAGUGUGAUUAUAUAAAAUGAUUGUAUUUAUGUACAUAAUUUUUAGUAGUGUUGUUGGAAAAAUUGGCGAUAUCAGACUGAAGUGUGAUUAUAUAAAAUGUUCAUGGACUUAACGAAGUAAUUACCCUUUUUUAAUUAGCGGAAAAAGGGGUCUUCCGGUGAAUAUGGGGCACCAAAUUAAAUGAUUUUCAUCUUUUGGUCUAUUUGCAUGUUUCCCUUUUUGAAAUUAAAUUUAGAUAACCCUUAAGAAAUAUAAGAAUAACAAAAAGAAAUCAUUCUCAUUUAUUUUAUUUUAUUUUUAAAAAAUAAACUUAAAAAAUUAUAUAAAAUGCUUAUUUAAAUUACCCAAAUAUAUCCCUCACACAACUUCCUCAAGUUUAUCUAAAUUCAAGCAUUUUCAAUUCAUUCCCUAGAAUAUUUAAAUUUAGAUAAACUUAAGGAAAUUUUUUGAGGAAUAUAUUUGGGUAAUUUGAAUAAGAAUUUUAUAUAAUUUUUUAAGUAUUUUUUUUCAAAAAAAAUGAAAAUGUUAUAGUUUUGUUAUUAUUAUAUUUUUAAGUGCUAUUUAAAUCUAACUUCAAAAGAGGACAAACGUAACAUGCAAAUAGGUCAAAUGUUGAAAAACAUUUAAUUUGGUUCAGAUACCAACGACACCCCUUUUUCAACCAAUCUAAAACCGUUAACCGCUUCAAAAGAUCCCUGCACGUUUUAUAUAAUCACAUUCAGUCUGGUGCCGUCAAUUUAUUAGGCAAAACCACUACAAUCUUUUUUAAAAAGCAAUCAUUGGCUGAUGAUGGAGGUCAAUGCAAUAAGCACGAUAGAUAUCAAGUCAUUUACGUAUAUGAUUUUUAAGUUGGAUCAUUUUCGUAAUUAACCAAAAAAUUUUGGUUACUUUUAACUGCCUAGUUGAUAUGUGAAUAUUAACCUUUAGAUCAGUUUAUAAAUCUUCAUACUCAUCUACUCAUUUUGAUUGUCUUUCAAAGUACAGAAGGAAGACUGAUACUAUCUUAUAAUAAUAUUUAUGUCAACAGGUUGUCGUUCCUCGUUUGGAGCGUCUGGAUUUGUCCUCGAUCAACAUUCAUAAGAUAUGGCACCACUCAUCCUCCCCAUCUAUCGGAUACCUAAAUUUCUUGCGGGUGAAGAGGUGUCACAAUUUGAAAUACCUGUUCCCGUUUUUCUUAGCAAAAGAUCUUGAGCAACUCCGAUUCCUUGGAAUUUUGGACUGUAAUAUGAUGGAACAAGUAAUAUUCACGGAUGGAUUGGUUGAGGAACAUCAAGGGAGGAAUCAGAUGUUUUUCUUUAAUCUACAUUCGCUGUGGCUAAACGACCUUCCCAAAACUCACAAGUUUGUGCUUUGAAAAUUACUUUGAAUUUCACUGUUUAGCAGAUUUAACACUAAGAAAUUGUCCAUUGCUAAAAACAUUCAUCUCUAAAUGUGUACCCGGAGAUGAACCUCAAAUUGGCCAACAUGUACAGGCAAGUAACUUGGAGGUUCAUAACUCAUCUCUCCUCAAUGAAAAGGUAAUUUCUUCAAGGAUCCUCCUUUUAAUUUAUGUUACUUCGAUUGAUUUUAUUCAUUUGAAGUUCUUUCUUUUUCAUACAUAUUUCAGUUAUUAGCCUAAUGAAAUGAUUUAUUAGAUUGUUUUCUCUAGUUUGAAGUACUUGUCGAUUCAGAAUUGUGAUUCGUUAGAAGAAAUUAUUGAGCUGGAAGGACUCAUUGCUGAUGAGUCACAGUCAACAUCAGCUGCUCAAUCUACUGUGGCUGAAACAGUGACGACCAAGUUUGUAUUUCCCAAACUAAUAAACCUUGGAUUGGAUAAGGUGCCAAGAUUGAAAAGUUUCUACUCUAGGAUGCAUACCACCCAGUGGCCUUCAUUGAAACGAAUGAGCAUUAUUGAAUGCCCCAAAGUACAGAUAUUUACUCGACAAUGUCCUGUGAGUCAGGUUGGAAUCUCAAACCAACAACCCUUGUUUUGCGUCAAUAAGGUAAGCUCACGAACAGUUUCAUAUUCCAUGAUCAUUACUUGAGAUUACCUAUAAAAUGCUUUUUGAAAAAACUAAUAUUCUCUCCUCUUUUAAUUUUAUGAGAGUCUAGUUCUUACUAAUUUAAAACUCUUUCAUCGAUGUCUAAUAUAUUCGUUGCCAUCCAGGACACUUUCCCUGUAUUAGAAGAACUAACACUGAAGACGAAUGAUAUGGGGAAGGGGAUAUGUGAUGGACAACUCUCAUUGCAGUGUUUCCAAAACCUUAAGCAUCUUAACCUCCAAUUCUUUCCUGAGACAUCCACUACUCUUCCGUAUUCCUUCAUUCGGUCACUACCAAUGCUUCAUAAGCUUGUUAUAGACAAUGCUUCCAUUUGUCAAAUAGUACAAUCUGAAGGACUCAGCGACCAGG